Strigops habroptila (Kakapo) is the source of this 2000-nucleotide long non-coding RNA. RefSeq lists it as uncharacterized. The record is from RefSeq and is a predicted model, not a curated record. NCBI's taxonomy places the organism in Eukaryota, Metazoa, Chordata, Aves, Psittaciformes, Psittacidae. The transcript is spliced from 5 exons.
GUGUGACAGGGUGCCCUGUGCGCCUCCAGCUGCAGUUUGGGAAGGGGUGGCAGAGCCAACUCCCAGAGGGGGAAUGGGACUUGCUUAAAAGGUGCCGAGCAGCUGCUGCUGGCAGCAGUGGUUCAGACUGGCAGCACACGGCUGUCCCCUGCGCCGCAGGGCCGGUGGAGGCUGACGGCUGCCUGAGCCAUCUGCGGGAGCAGAGCUGGGGAGCCCGGGCCCAAAAGUGCGAUAUCCUCAAGAAAAUCCUCACUUUUGGGUGGCAAAGCCAAAAAUCCCUACUUUUGGGUCCCACCCAGAAGUAGUGCUGUGUGGUGAGAUCUCCUGCACCCCUGCUGCUGGGCAGAGGGGGAUAAUCAGGGUGCUGAAGAGACGAUGCUCCAGAGUCUGUGCAGCGGGUGACAGCUUAGAAGUGCUGCCCCAACAGGACCUCAGCGCCUCUUGGCAGAACAGAGGCUUUCCUUCUCCAAAGACAGCUCUGUCUCCAACUUCUUGGCCCAGGGACCCAUCAGGAGGGAUUAGAGCUGCUGCCAGAGGGCUGCUGUGGCACCGUGAUGGGCAGGAGGUCUGGGGCAGUGUGCGAUGCUGGGCAGCGGGGAAUACGUGUCCUCUUGGGAAGGCUGCAGGCAGUCACCUUGAUGCUUUGCUGCUGAGAUCCUGAGGUUGGCAUCUUUGGGAUAAGUCCUUCGGGGGGCAAUAAGCUAGACAAGCCAAUUGGCAAGUGGUGGAGCUGGAUAAGGACAGGCCAGCCAGAGGAAGAGCAGAUGUGGCGGGGGUCAGCAGUCCUCCUUAGCAAAGCCUUGCUAACCUCCUUUUGCUUUGCCUUGGAGAAAGCCGUUUUGCCUUGGUACCACCUCACCUCUACCAGUUUUCUCUCAUCCCCUUGUAUGAGCUGAGCCAUUUAUCCCCAGGGUAUUUUCUAGGUUUGCCCAGCUGCCUCCAUCCAUGUUUUGUGUUACAUCCUUCACAGAUUUUCUUGCCCUUUCUGUGCCCUCGGUUCUGAAGUGUUGCUCCAAAACGCCAGGGCCUGGGAGUGGGUUAGUAGAUGCAGCUGUUAUCCCCACGUACUGCUGAAAACAGAGAGGAUUGCUCCCACAGAAUGGGAGUGCAGGCGUUGUAAAAGUGUUGGGAAAUUGCUUACCCUGGCAGUGUGUGAGUAACGGGACUUUUAUGGUGCCUCGUGCAGUGGUGGGAUAACAAGGAAGGAGCUUCCACGAGAGGGGCCGAUACUGCGCCAUGAUUUAGAGCACCACUUGUGGUCCUGCUUGUGCACUGUGGUCUGACAUUUGCAAGCUCAUAAUCUUCCUUUAUGAACCAGGCAUGAAGAAGGACCACUUAACAAUGUGGAGCAUGAGCCAAGCAGCAUAUAUCCGUUCUCUAAAUUUUAUUAUUACUACUUUUUUCACAUGCUUCCCCACCAUUCUGCUUCCUUGGGCUCCUUCCUUUCCAGCCUCAUGCCUGCUCUGACCUCGGAGAAGUUCCCUGUGGCCAACCCCUGGUCUCCCAUGGUGUCCUGCCAGGCCCAGUAAAGCUGAGACUCAGAAAGGUGAAGCAAGAGCUCUGGAGAGAAAUGAGCUGCUGCUUUACACAGCGAUGCAUGAGAAACCUGGAAAUGCUCAGAGCUGUUUCAGCCAUGACAGCCUCUCCUCAUUAUUAUGGAAAAUAUAGGGUUGGUGGUAAUUACUAUCUGAGUCUGAAUGGGAGCAGAAGUGGGCAUAGACUGCACUGGCCUUUCUUUGACAAGCAUCAGACUUGCCUGAGAAUUGCAUCUGUAUAGUAAAGAGCCAUGAAAUAAUUUUCUUGUAGGUGGAGUUUCCUGCUGAGCCAAAUUUAUUUCAGGCUUUCUUUGAAAUGUAAAAGAAAAGGCCAUGGUUGCCAAAUGAAAAUAAAUGUAUUUCUAUUGGGUACAAUGGCAGAAAGGUAUAAGAGAGCAACGACUAAAGCAGAGAAGAAGGAGGAAAAUCUGAUUAAUUGCUUUCAGUGGAAGGUAGGCGCACUCA